This is a non-coding RNA of Merluccius polli (Benguela hake), 67 nucleotides long. NCBI's taxonomy places the organism in Eukaryota, Metazoa, Chordata, Actinopteri, Gadiformes, Merlucciidae. The record is from the annotation of a GenBank genome assembly.
UAGCCGAGUGGCUAGGGUGUUGGGUGAAUCCCAUUCCAAAGGUUUUGGGGUUCGAACCCCAAUGUCC